UUAAGCGACUAAGCGUACACGGUGGAUGCCCUGGCAGUCAGAGGCGAUGAAGGACGUGCUAAUCUGCGAAAAGCGUCGGUAAGGUGAUAUGAACCGUUAUAACCGGCGAUGUCCGAAUGGGGAAACCCAGUGCAAUUCGUUGCACUAUCGUUAACUGAAUACAUAGGUUAACGAGGCGAACCGGGGGAACUGAAACAUCUAAGUACCCCGAGGAAAAGAAAUCAACCGAGAUUCCCCCAGUAGCGGCGAGCGAACGGGGAGCAGCCCAGAGUCUGAAUCAGCUUGUGUGUUAGUGGAACGGUCUGGAAAGUCCGACGGUACAGGGUGAUAGUCCCGUACACCAAAAUGCACAGGUUGUGAACUCGAAGAGUAGGGCGGGACACGUGGUAUCCUGUCUGAAUAUGGGGGGACCAUCCUCCAAGGCUAAAUACUCCUGACUGACCGAUAGUGAACCAGUACCGUGAGGGAAAGGCGAAAAGAACCCCGGCGAGGGGAGUGAAAAAGAACCUGAAACCGUGUACGUACAAGCAGUGGGAGCACCUUCGGGUGUGACUGCGUACCUUUUGUAUAAUGGGUCAGCGACUUAUAUUCUGUAGCAAGGUUAACCGUAUAGGGGAGCCGCAGGGAAACCGAGUCUUAACUGGGCGUUAAGUUGCAGGGUAUAGACCCGAAACCCGGUGAUCUAGCCAUGGGCAGGUUGAAGGUUGGGUAACACUAACUGGAGGACCGAACCGACUAAUGUUGAAAAAUUAGCGGAUGACUUGUGGCUGGGGGGGAAAGGCCAAUCAAACCGGGAGAUAGCUGGUUCUCCCCGAAAGCUAUUUAGGUAGCGCCUCGUGAACUCAUCUUCGGGGGUAGAGCACUGUUUCGGCUAGGGGGUCAUCCCGACUUACCAACCCGAUGCAAACUACGAAUACCGAAGAAUGUUAUCACGGGAGACACACGGCGGGUGCUAACGUCCGUCGUGAAGAGGGAAACAACCCAGACCGCCAGCUAAGGUCCCAAAGUCAUGGUUAAGUGGGAAACGAUGUGGGAAGGCACAGACAGCCAGGAUGUUGGCUUAGAAGCAGCCAUCAUUUAAAGAAAGCGUAAUAGCUCACUGGUCGAGUCGGCCUGCGCGGAAGAUGUAACGGGGCUAAACCAUGCACCGAAGCUGCGGCAGCGACACUAUGUGUUGUUGGGUAGGGGAGCGUUCUGUAAGCCUGCGAAGGUGUGCUGUGAGGCAUGCUGGAGGUAUCAGAAGUGCGAAUGCUGACAUAAGUAACGAUAAAGCGGGUGAAAAGCCCGCUCGCCGGAAGACCAAGGGUUCCUGUCCAACGUUAAUCGGGGCAGGGUGAGUCGACCCCUAAGGCGAGGCCGAAAGGCGUAGUCGAUGGGAAACAGGUUAAUAUUCCUGUACUUGGUGUUACUGCGAAGGGGGGACGGAGAAGGCUAUGUUAGCCGGGCGACGGUUGUCCCGGUUUAAGCAUGUAGGCUGGUUGUCCAGGCAAAUCCGGAUAAUCAAGGCUGAGGUGUGAUGACGAGGCACUACGGUGCUGAAGUAACAAAUGCCCUGCUUCCAGGAAAAGCCUCUAAGCAUCAGGUAACAUUAAAUCGUACCCCAAACCGACACAGGUGGUCAGGUAGAGAAUACCAAGGCGCUUGAGAGAACUCGGGUGAAGGAACUAGGCAAAAUGGUGCCGUAACUUCGGGAGAAGGCACGCUGGUGUGUAGGUGAAGCCCCUGCGGGUGGAGCUGAGACCAGUCGAAGAUACCAGCUGGCUGCAACUGUUUAUUAAAAACACAGCACUGUGCAAACACGAAAGUGGACGUAUACGGUGUGACGCCUGCCCGGUGCCGGAAGGUUAAUUGAUGGGGUUAUCCGUAAGGAGAAGCUCUUGAUCGAAGCCCCGGUAAACGGCGGCCGUAACUAUAACGGUCCUAAGGUAGCGAAAUUCCUUGUCGGGUAAGUUCCGACCUGCACGAAUGGCGUAAUGAUGGCCAGGCUGUCUCCACCCGAGACUCAGUGAAAUUGAACUCGCUGUGAAGAUGCAGUGUACCCGCGGCAAGACGGAAAGACCCCGUGAACCUUUACUAUAGCUUGACACUGAACAUUGAGCCUUGAUGUGUAGGAUAGGUGGGAGGCUUUGAAGCGUGGACGCCAGUCUGCGUGGAGCCAACCUUGAAAUACCACCCUUUAAUGUUUGAUGUUCUAACGUUGGCCCCUUACCGGGGUUGCGGACAGUGUCUGGUGGGUAGUUUGACUGGGGCGGUCUCCUCCCAAAGCGUAACGGAGGAGCACGAAGGUUAGCUAAUCCUGGUCGGACAUCAGGAGGUUAGUGCAAUGGCAUAAGCUAGCUUGACUGCGAGCGUGACGGCGCGAGCAGGUGCGAAAGCAGGUCAUAGUGAUCCGGUGGUUCUGAAUGGAAGGGCCAUCGCUCAACGGAUAAAAGGUACUCCGGGGAUAACAGGCUGAUACCGCCCAAGAGUUCAUAUCGACGGCGGUGUUUGGCACCUCGAUGUCGGCUCAUCACAUCCUGGGGCUGAAGUAGGUCCCAAGGGUAUGGCUGUUCGCCAUUUAAAGUGGUACGCGAGCUGGGUUUAGAACGUCGUGAGACAGUUCGGUCCCUAUCUGCCGUGGGCGCUGGAGAAUUGAGGGGGGCUGCUCCUAGUACGAGAGGACCGGAGUGGACGCAUCACUGGUGUUCGGGUUGUCAUGCCAAUGGCACUGCCCGGUAGCUAAAUGCGGAAGAGAUAAGUGCUGAAAGCAUCUAAGCACGAAACUUGCCCCGAGAUGAGUUCUCCCUGAGACUUUAAGUCUCCUGAAGGAACGUUGAAGACGACGACGUUGAUAGGCCGGGUGUGUAAGCGCAGCGAUGCGUUGAGCUAACCGGUACUAAUGAACCGUGAGGCUUAACCUU
This 2900-nucleotide ribosomal RNA is filed under the name Klebsiella pneumoniae. RNAcentral's name for it is "bacterial LSU rRNA". It matches the Rfam family "Bacterial large subunit ribosomal RNA". Lineage: Bacteria; Pseudomonadati; Pseudomonadota; Gammaproteobacteria; Enterobacterales; Enterobacteriaceae. The record is from RNAcentral.